RNAcentral lists this ribosomal RNA (488 nucleotides) under uncultured bacterium. RNAcentral describes it as "partial 16S ribosomal RNA". It matches the Rfam family "Bacterial small subunit ribosomal RNA", at positions 30 to 523 of the family's 1533-position model. The record is from RNAcentral.
AUUGAACGCUGGCGGCAGGCCUAACACAUGCAAGUCGAGCGGGGUUUUCGGACCUAGCGGCGGACGGGUGAGUAAUGCGUAGGAAGCUACCCGAUAGAGGGGGAUACCAGUUGGAAACGACUGUUAAUACCGCAUAAUGUCUACGGACCAAAGUGUGGGACCUUCGGGCCACAUGCUAUCGGAUGCGCCUACGUGGGAUUAGCUAGUUGGUGGGGUAAUGGCUCACCAAGGCGACGAUCCCUAGCUGGUUUGAGAGGAUGAUCAGCCACACUGGAACUGAGACACGGUCCAGACUCCUACGGGAGACAGCAGUGGGGAAUAUUGGACAAUGGGCGCAAGCCUGAUCCAGCCAUGCCGCGUGUGUGAAGAAGGCCUUCGGGUUGUAAAGCACUUUCAGUAGGGAGGAAGGGUGUUGUGUUAAUAGCACAGCAUUUUGACGUUACCUACAGAAGAAGCACCGGCUAACUCUGUGCCAGCAGCCGCAGUAA